RNAcentral lists this ribosomal RNA (696 nucleotides) under Paragalactinia succosa. RNAcentral describes it as "partial large subunit ribosomal RNA". It matches the Rfam family "Eukaryotic large subunit ribosomal RNA", at positions 71 to 781 of the family's 3401-position model. The record is from RNAcentral. Lineage: Eukaryota; Fungi; Ascomycota; Pezizomycetes; Pezizales; Pezizaceae.
GGGAUUGCCUUAGUAACGGCGAGUGAAGCGGCAAAAGCUCAGAUUUGAAAUCUGUUGCCAUAGAGGCAUCCGAAUUGUAAUCUGUAGAGGAGUAUUCGAGUAUGGCUUUGGCUUAAGUUCCUUGGAACAGGGCGUCAUAGAGGGUGAGAACCCCGUUUACGGCCUUUGUCUUAUGCUUAUGUGAAUCUCUUUCGAUGAGUCGAGUUGUUUGGGAAUGCAGCUCUAAAUGGGUGGUAAAUUCCAUCUAAAGCUAAAUACUGGCAAGAGACCGAUAGCGCACAAGUAGAGUGAUCGAAAGAUGAAAAGAACUCUGAACAGAGAGUUAAAUAGUACGUGAAAUUGUUGAAAGGGAAGCACUUACUACCAGACACACUUGUAGCUGAUCAGCCUCCAAUUUUUGGUGGUGCACUCAGUUGUAAGUGGGUCAGCAUCAGUUACAGCGGUGGGAAAAAGACUUUGGGAAUGUGGCUUCCUUCUGGAAGUGUUAUAGCCCAUUGUGUAAUGCUACCUGUAGUGACUGAGGACCGCGCUUCGGCAAGGAUGCUGGCAUAAUGGUCGUAAGUGACCCGUCUUGAAACACGGACCAAGGAGUCUAACAUCUAUGCAAGUGUUUGGGUGUAAAAACCCUUGCGCGAAAUGAAAGUGAAUGCAGAUGGGAAGCGGAAACGCCCCCCAUCGACCGAUCCUGAGGUUUCC